UGCCAGCAGCCGCGGUAAUACGUAGGCGGCAAGCGUUAUUCGGAUUUAUUGGGCGUAAAGGGUCCGUAGGGGGUUUGCUAAGUCUGAUGUGAAAUACCUCGGCUCAACCGGGGAACUGCAUUGGAUACUGACAGACUAGAGCAUCGGAGAGGAGAGUGGAAUUCCUGGUGUAGCGGUGGAAUGCGUAGAUAUCAGGAGGAACACCGAAGGCGAAGGCAGCUCUCUGGACGAUUGCUGACCCUGAGGGACGAAAGCUAGGGGAGCGAACAGGAUUAGAUA
Molecule: ribosomal RNA, 279 nt
Filed under: uncultured bacterium
Lineage: Bacteria
Description: partial 16S ribosomal RNA
Rfam family: Bacterial small subunit ribosomal RNA
Source: RNAcentral